Sebastes umbrosus (honeycomb rockfish) is the source of this 361-nucleotide long non-coding RNA. RefSeq lists it as uncharacterized. The transcript is spliced from 2 exons. The record is from RefSeq and is a predicted model, not a curated record. Lineage: Eukaryota; Metazoa; Chordata; Actinopteri; Perciformes; Sebastidae.
UAGGCAUAGUAGGCCCCUACUGACCCACAUCUAUGAACAACCGUCCAUGUUAUGAGCUUGUUUAGUUUAUUUCUAAUUGUAUUUUUCUUUCGACUUUUCUGAUACGUUUGAUUAAAAAACAAGUGAAAAAGAAGAAAAGAAAAACAAACCGGAAUAUUAAUAGUGUGGCAAUUGAAUUUCUAUAUUCUUAAUCUUAUGUUAUUAUUAAUCUUAUUAUAUUUUAGUCUUUUUCAUUCAAUACGGCAUCCAAUGAAACUCAUUUUGAAUGCAGUAGAUUCUCUGUGUGCGUGUGUGUAUUUAUUACGUGCUUUAUCUUUGUAACCAAACCUUGAUUAAACCUUGAUUAGCUUUGGAAAACUUU